UACGUAGGCAGCAAGCGUUGUUCGGAGUUACUGGGCGUAAAGGGUGUGUAGGCGGUUGUUUAAGUUUGGUGUGAAAUCUCCCGGCUCAACUGGGAGGGUGCGCCGAAUACUGAAUGACUUGGAGUGCGGGAGAGGAAAGUGGAAUUCCUGGUGUAGCGGUGAAAUGCGUAGAUAUCAGGAGGAACACCGGUGGUGUAGACGGCUUUCUGGACCGUAACUGACGCUGAGACACGAAAGCGUGGGGAGCAAACAGG
This 254-nucleotide ribosomal RNA is filed under the name uncultured bacterium. RNAcentral describes it as "partial 16S ribosomal RNA". It matches the Rfam family "Bacterial small subunit ribosomal RNA", at positions 524 to 776 of the family's 1533-position model. The record is from RNAcentral.